Molecule: ribosomal RNA, 719 nt
Filed under: Pseudomonas koreensis
Lineage: Bacteria; Pseudomonadati; Pseudomonadota; Gammaproteobacteria; Pseudomonadales; Pseudomonadaceae
Description: bacterial SSU rRNA
Rfam family: Bacterial small subunit ribosomal RNA
Source: RNAcentral
GAGAGGGGGGGGUCGUACGGUCAUGGUUCAGCGGAGGAAGGAGCUUGCUCCUGGAUUCAGCGGCGGACGGGUGAGUAAUGCCUAGGAAUCUGCCUGGUAGUGGGGGACAACGUUUCGAAAGGAACGCUAAUACCGCAUACGUCCUACGGGAGAAAGCAGGGGACCUUCGGGCCUUGCGCUAUCAGAUGAGCCUAGGUCGGAUUAGCUAGUUGGUGAGGUAAUGGCUCACCAAGGCGACGAUCCGUAACUGGUCUGAGAGGAUGAUCAGUCACACUGGAACUGAGACACGGUCCAGACUCCUACGGGAGGCAGCAGUGGGGAAUAUUGGACAAUGGGCGAAAGCCUGAUCCAGCCAUGCCGCGUGUGUGAAGAAGGUCUUCGGAUUGUAAAGCACUUUAAGUUGGGAGGAAGGGUUGUAGAUUAAUACUCUGCAAUUUUGACGUUACCGACAGAAUAAGCACCGGCUAACUCUGUGCCAGCAGCCGCGGUAAUACAGAGGGUGCAAGCGUUAAUCGGAAUUACUGGGCGUAAAGCGCGCGUAGGUGGUUUGUUAAGUUGGAUGUGAAAUCCCCGGGCUCAACCUGGGAACUGCAUCCAAAACUGGCAAGCUAGAGUAUGGUAGAGGGUGGUGGAAUUUCCUGUGUAGCGGUGAAAUGCGUAGAUAUAGGAAGGAACACCAGUGGCGAAAGGCGACCACCUGGACUGGAUACUGACACUGA